UACGUAGGGUGCGAGCGUUAAUCGGAAUUACUGGGCGUAAAGCGCACGUAGGCGGAUUGUUAAGUCAGGGGUGAAAUCCUGGAGCUCAACUCCAGAACUGCCUUUGAUACUGGCGAUCUUGAGUCCGGGAGAGGUGAGUGGAACUCCGAGUGUAGAGGUGAAAUUCGUAGAUAUUACGGAAGAACACCAGUGGCGAAGGCGGCUCACUGGCCCGGUACUGACGCUGAUGUGCGAAACG
RNAcentral lists this ribosomal RNA (238 nucleotides) under uncultured bacterium. RNAcentral describes it as "partial 16S ribosomal RNA". It matches the Rfam family "Bacterial small subunit ribosomal RNA", at positions 524 to 760 of the family's 1533-position model. The record is from RNAcentral.